Molecule: ribosomal RNA, 234 nt
Filed under: uncultured prokaryote
Description: partial 16S ribosomal RNA
Rfam family: Bacterial small subunit ribosomal RNA
Source: RNAcentral
UACAGAGGUGGCAAGCGUUGUUCGGAAUUACUGGGCGUAAAGGGCGCGUAGGCGGCCUUGUAAGUUGGGGGUGAAAGCCCGUGGCUCAACCACGGAAUUGCCUUCGAUACUGCUUGGCUUGAGACCGGAAGAGGUGAGUGGAACUGCGAGUGUAGAGGUGAAAUUCGUAGAUAUUCGCAAGAACACCAGUGGCGAAGGCGGCUCACUGGUCCGGAUCUGACGCUGAGGCGCGAA